This 332-nucleotide ribosomal RNA is filed under the name uncultured bacterium. RNAcentral describes it as "bacterial SSU rRNA". It matches the Rfam family "Bacterial small subunit ribosomal RNA", at positions 147 to 507 of the family's 1533-position model. The record is from RNAcentral.
GCCACGAAAGGUGGUCUAAUACUUCAUAAUAUCCAUCUCGUAUGGAUUAAAGCUUUAUGCGCUUUGGGAGGGGCCUGCGUAACAUUAGCUUGUUGGUGAGGUAAAAGCUCACCAAGGCUUCGAUGUUUAACUGGUUUGAGAGGAUGACCAGUCACACUGGGACUGAGAUACGGCCCAGACUCCUACGGGAGGCAGCAGUAAGGAAUCUUCCACAAUGGGGCAACCCUGAUGGAGCAAUACCGCGUGCAGGAUGAAGCGUUUCGGCGUGUAAACUGCUUUUAUCACCGAAGAUUAUGACUGUAGGUGAAGAAUAAGGACCGGCUAACUACGUG